This 253-nucleotide ribosomal RNA is filed under the name uncultured bacterium. Its description in RNAcentral is "partial 16S ribosomal RNA". It matches the Rfam family "Bacterial small subunit ribosomal RNA", at positions 524 to 776 of the family's 1533-position model. The record is from RNAcentral.
UACGGAGGAUGCAAGCGUUAUCCGGAAUUAUUGGGCGUAAAGCGUCCGCAGGUGGCAAUGUAAGUCUGCUGUCAAAGCGUCUGGCUCAACCAGAUAAAGGCAGUGGAAACUACAUAGCUAGAGUAAGGUAGGGGUAGAGGGAAUUCCUGGUGUAGCGGUGAAAUGCGUAGAGAUCAGGAAGAACACCGGUGGCGAAAGCGCUCUGCUGGACCUUAACUGACACUGAGGGACGAAAGCUAGGGGAGCGAAUGGG